GACGAACGUUGGCGGCGUGCUUAAUACAUGCAAGUCAACUGAAGCAGUGGUAGCAAUAUCGCUGUGGAGGUGGCGCACGGGUGAGUAACACGUAGGUAAUCUGCCUUCAGGUCUGGCAUAACUCCGGGAAACCGGGGCUAAUAGCAGAUGAUGCAGCGGCUCGACAUCGAGACAGUUGGUAAAGCUAUGGCGCCUGAAGAGGAGCCUGCGUCUGAUUAGCUAGUUGGCGGGGUAACGGCCCACCAAGGCAACGAUCAGUAGCUGGUCUGAGAGGAUGAUCAGCCACACUGGAACUGAGACACGGCCCAGACUGCUACGGGAGGCAGAAGUAAGGAAGAUUGCGCAAUGGGAGAAAUCCUGAAGCAGCAACGCCGCGUGAGGGACGAAGGGCUUUUGCUUGUAAACCUCUGUAGUGAGAGAAAACAAUCCCAAUCUUUGGGACAUGAUGGUAUCUCAAAAGUAAGCCCCGGCUAACUACGUG
This 481-nucleotide ribosomal RNA is filed under the name uncultured bacterium. RNAcentral describes it as "partial 16S ribosomal RNA". It matches the Rfam family "Bacterial small subunit ribosomal RNA", at positions 28 to 507 of the family's 1533-position model. The record is from RNAcentral.